Molecule: ribosomal RNA, 294 nt
Filed under: uncultured bacterium
Lineage: Bacteria
Description: partial 16S ribosomal RNA
Rfam family: Bacterial small subunit ribosomal RNA
Source: RNAcentral
AACGAACGCUGGCGGCAGGCCUAACACAUGCAAGUCGAGCGCUACCUUCGGGUGGAGCGGCGGACGGGUUAGUAAUGCGUAGGAACAUGCCCAUUGGUGGGGGAUAGCCCAGAGAAAUUUGGAUUAAUACCGCAUACGCCCUACGGGGGAAAGCGGGGGACUCUUCGGAGCCUCGCGCUGAUGGAUUGGCCUACGUCUGAUUAGCUUGUUGGUGGGGUAAUGGCCUACCAAGGCAACGAUCAGUAGCUGGUCUGAGAGGAUGAUCAGCCACACUGGGACUGAGACACGGCCCAG